RNAcentral lists this long non-coding RNA (1040 nucleotides) under Homo sapiens (human). RNAcentral describes it as "HSALNT0294869". The record is from RNAcentral. Lineage: Eukaryota; Metazoa; Chordata; Mammalia; Primates; Hominidae.
GCGAGCUCCCCGGAAGCUCCCACCUGAGCGGCGCAUCCUCAGGGCCUGGGCCUGGCCUCCUUGCCUGUGAGAUGGCACUGUGACGGUGCCCACCUCGUGGGGUGUGUGAGGGCCGAGUGAAAUCGUGCAUUUGCGAUGUCUAGGACACACUGGAUUUGUACAUCUGGGGCUCAGGAGAGGACCAGAUCAGAGCUGGAAAUCAUGCCAGGAAGAGUAUGAAGCAGGGAGAGAAGGUGUGGAGGCCUCCCUGAGGAAACGAGGGGUCGAGCAGGUGAAGAGGGGGCUGAGAGCUAAGGAGUGCACAGAGACAAUGACAGAAAGACGGGAGGUCUGGUUUCAGGAAGGGUGUGAUGGACAGAAGAGAUGCAGCAGAGGUCAAGGAAGGACCAAGAUGCAUCAGGAGGAAAUGCCCAUGACCUUCAUCGCAGCAGCGUAUGUGCGUUGGUCUUCUCCAGGGAUGCCGAAAGUAGACAUACAGGGAGUCGCAGUACGGAUACCACCAGUGCCAGCCUGACCUCACAAGAGACGUCUUGUGUGACUGGCCCUGCCGUCACAGCUGGGCCAGUAAAGUACCUUCCAGGAGGCUCCAGUUGCUACCUGACUCACAACCUUCUAAUCCCAUGAUCUUUUAGUUCUAGUUUCCUUAUCUUGGUCUGAGCAAAUGGCUCAUUUUAAAGAUGACUUGCAGACAAAUGUAGAGAUCAUCCCAGGGGAAAGUGCCCCAAGAAAGGAGAGUCCAAGACCACCUGCCCCUCCCAGUUCUGCGGCUGGAGUGGGUGGGUGCAGCAACCACAGCCCCAGUGUACAGGAGUCACCACUGUCUCCUCCCGCAUUGGCCCAGCUUGGAAGUGCACAGCAACCAAGCAUGAGGACUGAGUUAAGCUUUUCGGAGAAAAAAGACACUAUGAUCAUCUGGCAGAUCACGAUCACUGUUUGGUGCCAGAGGUAAGGAGUUUGCUUGUUGUGUUUGCUUGGAGGCGACAGUUGGCAAUGACAGCCUGGGAGAAGCACCGGCAGUUAACAGCACUCUGCACCACUCA